AUGAAAUGUAAGAUUAAGGUCC
This 22-nucleotide non-coding RNA is filed under the name Rattus norvegicus (Norway rat). The record is from RNAcentral. Lineage: Eukaryota; Metazoa; Chordata; Mammalia; Rodentia; Muridae.